CCCGGUUCGCCGGGAGGAGAUGUGGUCUGGGUGGCGCGGACGGCGUUCGCGCCGCCACGACUGAAUCGCAAG
This 72-nucleotide non-coding RNA is filed under the name unclassified sequences. RNAcentral's name for it is "eL15-Euryarchaeota ribosomal protein leader". It matches the Rfam family "eL15-Euryarchaeota ribosomal protein leader". The record is from RNAcentral.